GGUUAAGCGACUAAGCGUACACGGUGGAUGCCCUGGCAGUCAGAGGCGAUGAAGGACGUGCUAAUCUGCGAUAAGCGUCGGUAAGGUGAUAUGAACCGUUAUAACCGGCGAUUUCCGAAUGGGGAAACCCAGUGUGUUUCGACACACUAUCAUUAACUGAAUCCAUAGGUUAAUGAGGCGAACCGGGGGAACUGAAACAUCUAAGUACCCCGAGGAAAAGAAAUCAACCGAGAUUCCCCCAGUAGCGGCGAGCGAACGGGGAGGAGCCCAGAGCCUGAAUCAGUGUGUGUGUUAGUGGAAGCGUCUGGAAAGGCGCGCGAUACAGGGUGACAGCCCCGUACACAAAAAUGCACAUGCUGUGAGCUCGAUGAGUAGGGCGGGACACGUGGUAUCCUGUCUGAAUAUGGGGGGACCAUCCUCCAAGGCUAAAUACUCCUGACUGACCGAUAGUGAACCAGUACCGUGAGGGAAAGGCGAAAAGAACCCCGGCGAGGGGAGUGAAAAAGAACCUGAAACCGUGUACGUACAAGCAGUGGGAGCCUCUUUUAUGGGGUGACUGCGUACCUUUUGUAUAAUGGGUCAGCGACUUAUAUUCUGUAGCAAGGUUAACCGAAUAGGGGAGCCGAAGGGAAACCGAGUCUUAACUGGGCGUUAAGUUGCAGGGUAUAGACCCGAAACCCGGUGAUCUAGCCAUGGGCAGGUUGAAGGUUGGGUAACACUAACUGGAGGACCGAACCGACUAAUGUUGAAAAAUUAGCGGAUGACUUGUGGCUGGGGGUGAAAGGCCAAUCAAACCGGGAGAUAGCUGGUUCUCCCCGAAAGCUAUUUAGGUAGCGCCUCGUGAAUUCAUCUCCGGGGGUAGAGCACUGUUUCGGCAAGGGGGUCAUCCCGACUUACCAACCCGAUGCAAACUGCGAAUACCGGAGAAUGUUAUCACGGGAGACACACGGCGGGUGCUAACGUCCGUCGUGAAGAGGGAAACAACCCAGACCGCCAGCUAAGGUCCCAAAGUCAUGGUUAAGUGGGAAACGAUGUGGGAAGGCCCAGACAGCCAGGAUGUUGGCUUAGAAGCAGCCAUCAUUUAAAGAAAGCGUAAUAGCUCACUGGUCGAGUCGGCCUGCGCGGAAGAUGUAACGGGGCUAAACCAUGCACCGAAGCUGCGGCAGCGACACUAUGUGUUGUUGGGUAGGGGAGCGUUCUGUAAGCCUGUGAAGGUGUGCUGUGAGGCAUGCUGGAGGUAUCAGAAGUGCGAAUGCUGACAUAAGUAACGAUAAAGCGGGUGAAAAGCCCGCUCGCCGGAAGACCAAGGGUUCCUGUCCAACGUUAAUCGGGGCAGGGUGAGUCGACCCCUAAGGCGAGGCCGAAAGGCGUAGUCGAUGGGAAACAGGUUAAUAUUCCUGUACUUGGUGUUACUGCGAAGGGGGGACGGAGAAGGCUAUGUUGGCCGGGCGACGGUUGUCCCGGUUUAAGCGUGUAGGCUGGUUUUCCAGGCAAAUCCGGAAAAUCAAGGCUGAGGCGUGAUGACGAGGCACUACGGUGCUGAAGCAACAAAUGCCCUGCUUCCAGGAAAAGCCUCUAAGCAUCAGGUAACAUCAAAUCGUACCCCAAACCGACACAGGUGGUCAGGUAGAGAAUACCAAGGCGCUUGAGAGAACUCGGGUGAAGGAACUAGGCAAAAUGGUGCCGUAACUUCGGGAGAAGGCACGCUGAUAUGUAGGUGAAGUCCCUCGCGGAUGGAGCUGAAAUCAGUCGAAGAUACCAGCUGGCUGCAACUGUUUAUUAAAAACACAGCACUGUGCAAACACGAAAGUGGACGUAUACGGUGUGACGCCUGCCCGGUGCCGGAAGGUUAAUUGAUGGGGUCAGCGCAAGCGAAGCUCUUGAUCGAAGCCCCGGUAAACGGCGGCCGUAACUAUAACGGUCCUAAGGUAGCGAAAUUCCUUGUCGGGUAAGUUCCGACCUGCACGAAUGGCGUAAUGAUGGCCAGGCUGUCUCCACCCGAGACUCAGUGAAAUUGAACUCGCUGUGAAGAUGCAGUGUACCCGCGGCAAGACGGAAAGACCCCGUGAACCUUUACUAUAGCUUGACACUGAACAUUGAGCCUUGAUGUGUAGGAUAGGUGGGAGGCUUAGAAGUGUGGACGCCAGUCUGCAUGGAGCCGACCUUGAAAUACCACCCUUUAAUGUUUGAUGUUCUAACGUUGACCCGUGAUCCGGGUUGCGGACAGUGUCUGGUGGGUAGUUUGACUGGGGCGGUCUCCUCCUAAAGAGUAACGGAGGAGCACGAAGGUUGGCUAAUCCUGGUCGGACAUCAGGAGGUUAGUGCAAUGGCAUAAGCCAGCUUGACUGCGAGCGUGACGGCGCGAGCAGGUGCGAAAGCAGGUCAUAGUGAUCCGGUGGUUCUGAAUGGAAGGGCCAUCGCUCAACGGAUAAAAGGUACUCCGGGGAUAACAGGCUGAUACCGCCCAAGAGUUCAUAUCGACGGCGGUGUUUGGCACCUCGAUGUCGGCUCAUCACAUCCUGGGGCUGAAGUAGGUCCCAAGGGUAUGGCUGUUCGCCAUUUAAAGUGGUACGCGAGCUGGGUUUAGAACGUCGUGAGACAGUUCGGUCCCUAUCUGCCGUGGGCGCUGGAGAACUGAGGGGGGCUGCUCCUAGUACGAGAGGACCGGAGUGGACGCAUCACUGGUGUUCGGGUUGUCAUGCCAAUGGCACUGCCCGGUAGCUAAAUGCGGAAGAGAUAAGUGCUGAAAGCAUCUAAGCACGAAACUUGCCCCGAGAUGAGUUCUCCCUGACUCCUUGAGAGUCCUGAAGGAACGUUGAAGACGACGACGUUGAUAGGCCGGGUGUGUAAGCGCAGCGAUGCGUUGAGCUAACCGGUACUAAUGAACCGUGAGGCUUAACCUU
Molecule: ribosomal RNA, 2903 nt
Filed under: Escherichia coli
Lineage: Bacteria; Pseudomonadati; Pseudomonadota; Gammaproteobacteria; Enterobacterales; Enterobacteriaceae
Description: 23S ribosomal RNA
Rfam family: Bacterial large subunit ribosomal RNA
Source: RNAcentral